GUGAGGAAUAUUGGUCAAUGGGCGAGAGCCUGAACCAGCCAAGUAGCGUGCAGGAUGACGGCCCUAUGGGUUGUAAACUGCUUUUAUCGGGGGAUAAAGUGAGGGACGCGUCCCUUUUUGUAGGUACCCGAUGAAUAAGGACCGGCUAAUUCCGUGCCAGCAGCCGCGGUAAUACGGAAGGUCCGGGCGUUAUCCGGAUUUAUUGGGUUUAAAGGGAGCGCAGGCCGAUGGUUAAGCGUGACGUGAAAUGUAGCCGCUCAACGGCUGAACUGCGUCGCGAACUGGCCGUCUUGAGUGAGUUCGAUGUGGGCGGAAUUCGUGGUGUAGCGGUGAAAUGCUUAGAUAUCACGAAGAACUCCGAUUGCGAAGGCAGCCCACAAGGCCUUUACUGACGCUAAAGCUCGAAGGUGCGGGUAUCGAACAGG
This 425-nucleotide ribosomal RNA is filed under the name uncultured rumen bacterium. Its description in RNAcentral is "bacterial SSU rRNA". It matches the Rfam family "Bacterial small subunit ribosomal RNA", at positions 354 to 776 of the family's 1533-position model. The record is from RNAcentral.